This 365-nucleotide ribosomal RNA is filed under the name uncultured eukaryote. RNAcentral's name for it is "partial 18S ribosomal RNA". It matches the Rfam family "Eukaryotic small subunit ribosomal RNA", at positions 592 to 976 of the family's 1831-position model. The record is from RNAcentral.
CAAUAGCGUAUAUUUAAGUUGUUGCAGUUAAAAAGCUCGUAGUCGGAUUUUGGCUGAGAACGAUCGGUCCGCCGUUAGGUGUGCACUGAUUGGUCUCGGCUUCCUGGUGAGGAGGUGUGCUUCACGGCCACUUAGUCACCGUGGUUACUUUGAAAAAAUUAGAGUGUUCAAAGCGGGCUUACGCUUGAAUAUAUUAGCAUGGAAUAACACCAUAGGACUCCUGUCCUAUUUCGUUGGUCACGGGACGGGAGUAAUGAUUAAGAGGAACAGUUGGGGGCAUUCGUAUUUCAUUGUCAGAGGUGAAAUUCUUGGAUUUAUGAAAGACGAACUUCUGCGAAAGCAUUUGCCAAGGAUGUUUUCAUUGA